UUACGGCCAUAUCACGUUGAAACACCGGUUACCGUACGAUCGACGAAGUAAAGCAACGCCAUACCUGGUCAAUACAUGGGUGACCGCUUGGGAAUACCAGGUGUUGUAAG
Acanthosepion pharaonis is the source of this 110-nucleotide non-coding RNA. NCBI's taxonomy places the organism in Eukaryota, Metazoa, Mollusca, Cephalopoda, Sepiida, Sepiidae. The record is from the annotation of a GenBank genome assembly.